RNAcentral lists this ribosomal RNA (375 nucleotides) under uncultured organism. Its description in RNAcentral is "partial 16S ribosomal RNA". It matches the Rfam family "Bacterial small subunit ribosomal RNA", at positions 526 to 896 of the family's 1533-position model. The record is from RNAcentral.
GGAGGGGUGCAAGCGUUGUUCGGAAUUAUUGGGCGUAAAGAGCGUGUAGGCGGGGUUGAACAAGUCAGAUGUGAAAAUCCCUCGGCUCAACCGAGGAAGUGCAUUUGAAACUGUUCAGCUUGAGUACGGGAGAGGAGAGCGGAAUUCCCGGUGUAGAGGUGAAAUUCGUAGAUAUCGGGAGGAACACCAGUGGCGAAGGCGGUUCUCUGGCCCGAUACUGACGCUGAGACGCGAAAGCGUGGGGAGCAAACAGGAUUAGAUACCCUGGUAGUCCACGCCGUAAACGAUGGGCACUAGGUGUAGGAGGUACUGACUCCUUCUGUGCCGAAGCUAACGCAUUAAGUGCCCCGCCUGGGGAGUACGGCCGCAAGGCUA